RNAcentral lists this long non-coding RNA (728 nucleotides) under Sorghum bicolor (sorghum). RNAcentral's name for it is "long non-coding RNA (SBIC_LNC017794)". The record is from RNAcentral. Lineage: Eukaryota; Viridiplantae; Streptophyta; Magnoliopsida; Poales; Poaceae.
GAACUUCAUAUCGUACAUGACCCACCCCCUGGAUUCCUAACGACACUUUACAUACCUAAUAGUAGGGUGACACGAUUGAUGACAUGCCCCUCUAGGUAGUUGUCAGUGUUUUUGACGGACCAUUGUCAAUGGCACGGGAGGCAUGACACAAAAGUACGUUGCCCUUUUACCAAAGUGACAAGUAGAAAUCGGAUUCCGACAGUGAAGACCAAAGGAGGUAUGAACUUCAUAUCGUACAUGACCCACCCCCCGGAUUCCUAGCGACACUUUAGAUACCUAAUAGUAGUGAGACAUGGCCAUUAAGCUUGAACUUCAUAUCAUACAUGACCCACCCCCCUGAUGGCUAGCGACACUUUAGAUACCUAAUAGUAGCGAGACAUGGCCAUUACACUUUAAGUUGUAGAGACACGUAGUGAGACUUUAUCAAUGACGUGCAACACAAUUUGGGGUCAGUUCAUUGAAACUAGAUUUGUAGUCUAAAAUUUUGGUACGCUUUGAAUUUGAAUUGGUAGUAAUUGAAUAACAAAAAAAGAAAAAACAAAAAUAAUAAUAGUUUGGCCCUAAGCGUAAGGAGCACAAACCGGGCUUCAGUCGGUCUUCUUUUUUGUCAGGGGACGCCGUCGUCAACCAAAGGCACCGCACCUGUAUUCAUUAGGGCACGCUUCGUCCAGGGCUUGGCCACGAGGGGAGGACGCCAUCCAGGGCUUCGACGACGCCUGGAGUUCGCG